This 357-nucleotide transfer-messenger RNA is filed under the name bovine gut metagenome. It matches the Rfam family "transfer-messenger RNA". Rfam says of the family: Bacterial tmRNA, also known as 10Sa RNA or SsrA, is named for its dual tRNA and mRNA-like properties. Its role is to liberate the mRNA from a stalled ribosome. The record is from RNAcentral.
GGGGUGAAAUGGUUUCGACGGGGAUAGUGAGGGCCGGAUAAGCGAGCCGAAGCCCCGAGCUUCGUUAAAAGCGGGACCUGUUUAAACAUAACAGACAACAACUACGCACUUCCUGUCGCUGCCUAAGCGCGUGACAGCGUCCGCCUGAGAAGACCUAUCGUCUCAGAUACGGGCGUCAUUCAGGAUAGGGAACGAAUCCGGGUAAGCUUUGCCCCGGACCGGACUUUAUGAAGCUACCGGACCGGCGAUCCCGCCGUUGGGAGCGCCGCCAGGGGAAUACUUGUACGACGGCUACGCUCGUAGAAAGUUGGGUCAUCAUGUUCUCGGACGGGAGUUCGACUCUCCCCACCUCCACCA